UACAGAAGUUUCCAGGCUAGGAGUCGAAUCUGAGCUACAGCUGCCUACCCACACAGCAAUGGGGGAACCGAGCUAUGUCUGCGACCUACACCACAGCUCACAACACUGCUGGAUCCUUAGCCCACUGAGCAAGGCCAGGGAUCUAACCCAAAUCCUCAUGGAUACUAGUUGUGUUCGUUAACCACUGAGCCACAAAGGGAACUCCCUAAUAGCAGAAAUCUUAAGGUAAUAUGGUAAUAGCAGAAUCUUAAGGUAACCUUUUUUUUUUCUUCCCUUUCCCCUGAAUUAUCUCCAUUUUCCCCGAUGUACUUGCUCUUCAACAUGUAGGAGGAGAUGGCCUUUUUGGCUCACACGUCUUUGGGUUUCCUUUUUAUAUAUAUAAAGGAAUGUCAUCUCUACCCAAGCUUACGGAACAGUUUCAAGGCUGUGGCUUUGCACCUUCCCAUCUGCAAAGAACUGCAUUCCAGUCACCUAUCAGAGAUGACCUCCAACUCUUUGCUGCUUAAUGUUUUGCAAAAGCUCAUUUGAAAAUACAUAAUAUAAAUGGAGAAUUGCCUGGAUGUUCUUUCUUUUCCUUUAUAGAAUGAUAGUUUGGCAAAAUGCCAAUGAUGAGAGAUGUUCUAUAAAGCAGUCCUAUAUAAUUCAGUGGUAGUCACCUUGGGGCACUUGAGGAAAUUGAUCAUUGGAGCUCAAAAUAUCCUCUUUAGGCGUACCUGUGAGAAACCUUAAUUCUGAUCUCAGUGCCAGGGACAAACUAGCUCCUUCUAAGAAACUUUAUUUUUAAAAAUUAUGUAACCAAAUGAGAUUUUCCUCUUUGCCUUGGUUGCUAGGAAGACUAGAGCCAAAUUUUCAUCCCAUAGGCACACAUUUUCUACAUCUAACUAACUCUGCCUUAUUUCUCUCUUAUCUUAGUCAUCAUUAUCUCAUUAUACUUUUCUUUUUAUGGCCACAACGGCAGCAUAUAGAAGUUCCCAGACUAGGGGUCGCAAACUGCGGCAAUGCCAGAUCUUUGACCCACUGAGCAAGGCCAAGGAUGGAACCUGGAUCCUGAAAGAGACAAGGUCGGGUCCUUAAUCUAUUAAGCAGCAAUGGGAAUGCCUUUAUUUUUUUUUGCUUUUUAGGGCUGCAUGCACAGCAUAUGGAUGUUCCCAGGCUAGGAGUCGAGUAAGAGCUACAGCUGCUGGCCUAUGCUGCAGCCACAGCAACGCAGGAUCCGAGCAGCAUGGGUGACCUACACCACAGCUCAUGGCAACACCAGAUCCCCGAGCAAGGCCAGCGUUGAAACCCACAUCCUAAUGGAUACUAGUCGGAUUUGUUUCCUUCAUGCUGGGAUGGGAACUCACUAUUCUUAUUUUUUUGUUUUCUUCAAGUUUUCAUGAAACAGGAUAGUUAUAAGAAAAAAGCACUUGCCUUAAUAAGGAAAAACAAAUGUGGAAAAAAUGUCCAUGGAAUGAUGGAAACAUGUGAUCAGAAUUUCCUUUCACUCUUGAGUAAAGAAGACAGCCAGCAUGUUCUUUGUCAAAACUACACUGAUAAAGGAAAAGAAUGCUUCUUCAACUUUCAAUAUUAUCUCCAAGAAUCAUGGACUGUUUUCCAUAAGAAAGCUGGAUCUCCUUAAGAAGUUUGUUUGUUUUUUAAUUUUUUAAUCCCUCUCAGAUGUAUUUACAUUGGGGGGGCUAUCUAUAUUUUCUAAUUUUAAAAAAUUUUUACAUUCAUCUUUUUUAAAUUAUUCAAUGAAUUUUAUUACAUUAUAGUUGUACAACAAUCAUCACAACCAAAUCUUUAAGAAGUUCUGAGCUAGGAGUUUCCAUUGUGGUGCAGCAGAAAGGAAUCUGACUAGUAUUCAUGAAUAUGCGGGUUGCCGUGAGCUGUGCUGUAGGUCGCAGACGCAGGUCAGAUCCCGAGUUGCUGUGGCUGUGGUGUAGGCCAACCCCUAUAUAUAUAUAUAAAAUAUAUAUACCUGAAACUAAUACAACACUGUAAAUCGACUAUGCUUCAAUUUUAAAAAGUAAAAAAGAAUAUUAGGGAUAACAAAAAAAUUUAUUCAUUCUGUCUUUAAUAAGGUAACUAGAGACAUCCCCCUAGACAAGCAGAGAGUAUAUUACUUAUAAUUUGGACAAUAUUUUAUGACAAAUAUGGGCCAGAAAUCUUUCUAACACACAUAUACUCCCCCCCACCACACACACACACACUCUCACCUGUUACUCAGCUGCUUAUUGAUGGAACAUGUCUGGGCAAUUUAGAAUUUUACCUAGGGGUUGCAAAUUGGAAUUCUUAAAUACCACUGCUUACUACUGCUGUGUCCCUGAACUCAAAGGUCCUGCAGAACCUGGAGAAGAGCAAGAAGUCUCAAGAGUGCCACUUCUUAGUGUGUAGUCCUCAUCACAACAGAAGAGCUAAGGUCUCUUUCUGCUCUGAAAUUCCAUGUUGCUUUCCAAGAGGCCAUUCUGCUUUCCCUUAAUGACCAUGGGCACCUCACCAUUUCGCCUCAGUGGGCUCCCCUAAACUUCAGGAGAGCACACCAGGUGCUGGUGGAAUAGCCUUCUGCUCAUUUCUCAGAACUAACCUAGUAGUUCCCUUGUGGCUCAGUGAAACCAUGAGAAUGUGGGUUUGAUCCCUGGUGUCACUCAGCAAGUUAAGGAACCAGCAUGGCUGUGAGCUGUGGUGUAGGUCGCAGAUGCAGCUCAGAUCUGACAUUGCUGUGGCUAUGGUGUAGGUCAGCGGCUAAAGCUCCGAUACGACCUCUAGCCUGGGAAUUUCCAUAUGCCACGAGUGCAGCCGUAAAAGCAAAAAGAAAUUACACAUGUAUCCCAGAACUAAAUGUCACAUCUAAGAGAAGUCCAUGUAAUGUGCUCUACCAUGCUAUAUGCUCCAAAGCACAGAGUUUUAUGGAGGCUUCAAACAUUGGGAUCUCAGCUUUGAUUCUACUAGGAAUGUUAGUAGAUUAUAGAAGGUACAGUCAGCAUAGGCUGGGUACAGACCAUCCUCAUGUGUGUCCGUAAUGAAGCCGCCUGGUGUGGGCUCUGUGGUUAUGGUCCAAGCAUUAUAGGAAUGUCAACACAGUUGAAGAGACUGAACAAAGCCUUACAGAGUUAAAAAUAACAAAAGGAAAGCAAAGUUACACAACAAACAGUGAUGUUUUGUGAUUCCCAACCUCAUCCAAUAUAACAACAUGUAUAUAAUGGCCAAAAUUCCAUAGGACUCCCUCUCACAUCACACUAGCAACCAAGGACAAACAUAACCCUCUGCGAUAGCCUAGAUGGGAAAAGAAUUUGAAAAUGAAUGGAUGUAAAGAUAGGUAUAACUGACUCACUUUGCCAUACACCUGAAGCUAACACAACAUUGUAAGUCAAUUCUACCCCAAUAAUUUUUGUCUUCAUUUUUGUUUAUCUGAAACUGUAUUUUAUUUUCUUUUUUUUCCCUCUGUGCUAAACCUGAGACAGCUUUAGUCAGCAUCAUUUUUAUUUUUUAUAAUGAUUUUUAUUUUUUCCAUUAUAGCUGAUUUACAGUGUUCUGUCAGUUUUCUACUGCACAGUGAGGUGACCCAGUCACACAUACAUGUAUACAUUCUCUUUUCUCACAUUAUCAUGCUCCAUCACAAGUGACCAGACAUAGCUCCCAGUGCUAUAUAGCAGGAUCCCAAUAAUUUUUUAAAAAAGAAGCCAUAAGGAAACUUAAGACUAUAGCGGGGGAUUCUGGGUGGGAAGAGAGGGUGAUGAGCUCACAGAGACAGAAGGGAGCAGGAGGCAUCAGGAGUCCAUACUGAGGGAGUUAGCCUUCAGAAGGAAAGACACUGGAAAUUUCUCAGCAAGAGUAAUGUGUACAGGAGGGAAAGCUGAGAAGAUGAACUAGCAGUCUAACUGCACAUGAUCCUUGGAUGCGCGGGUUUGAACUAUGCAAGUCCACUUACACAG
This 3914-nucleotide long non-coding RNA is filed under the name Sus scrofa (pig). RNAcentral's name for it is "lncRNA (ENSSSCG00025045811.1)". Lineage: Eukaryota; Metazoa; Chordata; Mammalia; Artiodactyla; Suidae. The record is from RNAcentral.